This is a long non-coding RNA of Oncorhynchus keta (chum salmon), 634 nucleotides long. RefSeq lists it as uncharacterized. The transcript is spliced from 3 exons. The record is from RefSeq and is a predicted model, not a curated record. Lineage: Eukaryota; Metazoa; Chordata; Actinopteri; Salmoniformes; Salmonidae.
UUGUCUAGGUCUCAGUAAGGAACUCCCCUCACCUGGUUGUCUAGGUCUCAGUAAGGAACUCCCCUCACCUGGUUGUCUAGGUCUCAGUAAGGAACUCCCCUCACCUGGUUGUCUAGGUCUCAGUAAGGAACUCCCCUCACCUGGUUGUCUAGGUCUCAGUAAGGAACUCCCCUCACCUGGUUGUCUAGGUCUCAGUAAGGAACUCCCCUCACCUGGUUGUCUAGGUCUCAGUAAGGAUCUCCCCUCACCUGGUUGUCUAGGUCUCAGUAAGGAACUCCCCUCACCUGGUUGUCUAGGUCUCAGUAAGGAACUCCCCUCACCUGGUUGUCUAGGUCUCAGUAAGGAACUCCCCUCACCUGGUUGUCUAGGUCUCAGUAAGGAACUCCCCUCACCUGGUUGUCUAGGUCUCAGUAAGGAACUCCCCUCACCUGGUUGUCUAGGUCUCAGUAAGGAACUCCCCUCACCUGGUUGUCUAGGUCUCAGUAAGGAACUCCCCUCACCUGGUUGUCUAGGUCUCAGUAAGGAACUCCCCUCACCUGGUUGUCUAGGUCUCAGUAAGGAACUCCCCUCACCUGGUUGUCUAGGUCUCAGUAAGGAACUCCCCUCACCUGGUUGUCUAGGUCUCAGUAAGGAA